Molecule: long non-coding RNA, 2271 nt
Organism: Phascolarctos cinereus (koala)
Lineage: Eukaryota; Metazoa; Chordata; Mammalia; Diprotodontia; Phascolarctidae
Source: RefSeq, a predicted model, not a curated record
GUCAUUGCACAUGCCCAGUAGUUACUUUUCCAAUCUACGUUAAACAGCUGGUUCCUAUUUUAUUUGCAAAAAAUGCCAGAGAAGACAUGUUCUCCCUAUGGUCUUAAAAACAUAUUCAGGCCUCUGAAAGAAACUUAAAAAAAAAAAGUUUUAGGUUACAAGAGAAGAGAAAAAUUCCAAACUGAUGAAGUCUUUGGUUCCUGCCUCUCUACAUAACAGCUUAGAAAGAUAUCAAGGAAGAUGAAGAAAGAGGAGGACCAUGGUGGAGAAGAGAAAGGAGGGAUUUAUAAAAGCACAAGGCCAUGUGUUUCAAGAUUCCUUCAAUGCUUGAUACAUCCAGAACUUAAAGGAUACACAAAUUCCUCACUGUGAUCAUGAUGGUCAAUUUCUAAAUCUUAUAGUCUCUUCACGCCUUCUCAUCAUUGUUUACCCUUUUUAUACCUUUCAACAAAUUGUCCAUAAGGAAGACACCUUAUGUUAGUAACAACAGCAGCAACAACGAAAGCAAUAACUGUAAUUCCACUGCUAUAGGGGAACUUCUGGAUAUGGAAACUGACUGUCUUAAUUCCUAUGACCACCUUCUUAGAGACUUGCCUUAGAGUACUGAGAGGUUAAGUGCCCACAGUUUCAUAGCCAGUAAGUGUUGGAAGAAGCACUUGAAUCCAGAUGUUGCUGACUCCAAGGCCAGCUUAAUAACCAUUAAGCCAUUGUUGCUGUUCAUCCCUCAUCCUCAAAAAGGACCGAUGACAUCAGGACUUGCAAGUGAAUUGGAUUUAAGUGAGGCAGAGCCUCAUUUUCUCCUCACGAGUCAUCUGAGUCCAGUGACAAAACAUAGGUCAGGAUCACUGGCAACAGCCCUGGAUGCAGUGGGAGACCUUGGCCCUUUUAAGCUAGAUCUUUCCCAGGUCUCAGUUUGUUUGAGGCAACAUCCAUUUGGUAAUUAAAGGACACUUUGUGAAGGAAAAUAAGGAAGUUAACAUGGAAAUGUGGAUAGAGUAGAUUCCAGGCAUGGAAGGAAGCCUUUGCGAAUGCACAAAGGUGGAACUUAAAAUGAUAGAUCAAAGAAACAGCUACUCAUCCAGUUCAACUAAAUACAAUAAUUAAACAAUCAAAUAACCAGGUAGUACUAUGAAAAGACUGAAGAGGAGCUAGAUUGUGGAGGGCCUUAAAUGUCAGCCUGAGAAAUUUUUAUUUUGUUUGAGAGGUGAGAAAAAGCCACUGAAAGCGCCUGAGCAGAGGAGUCACAUGGCCAAGCUUAGUUUUCAGAAAGAAAAAAAAAUGGCAGCUGUUUGGAUUGUGGACUGGAGAAGGGAGGGAAUGGAAGCAGAGAAACUUAAUCAAUGGACUAUUAUGAUAGCAUAGGUGAGAGCUGACCAAUGUAUGAAAUACUAUAUUUGCUGUGGGAAAGAAGAGGAUAAAUUCAAGAGAUGUUGUUGUAUAGAUAAAUAAUAUUUGACAAAAUUACUAGAAAUCCACAAUUAAAAAGGUAAGAGGAAAGAAUGUUAAUCAAAAUAAGCAAUUGCUAGUCAAGAACCAUGAUUCAAGUAUCAAGGAUUUUAGACUGAAAAGUAAGAGUUGUUUUUGGUGAUAUGGGUGUGUUUUUUCCUUCAAAGGUGAUCAGUGUGUCUCAUGGGGUAAAGAAAAUCACCCAGUCCUGAAGGUGAGAAUAGGAACUUUUUUCCCCUCUGACAUAGGAAAAGUUAUCCUCUCAAGGCUCAAUAAAAAACAGCCAAAAGACAUUACUAUAGUUAUCAAUAAUGGCUACAGGGUUUCUUCUUGAUAUCCAUGUUUUGGGGUUGUGAGGAUUGGGAAAAAGAAGUGUCAAGAAUGAUUUUGAAUUUGUGAACUUUGAUGUAGGAUCACAGCAGUCCCUUCUACAGAAAUAGGGAAGAUUGGAGAGGAGGAACCUUUCAUUGGGAAAGAUGAUGAGUUGUUUUGGACAUGGUCAGCCUUAGAUGCCUAUUGAGGAAAGCAUCUAUGUAAAUUGGUCAAAUAUAAUGCCAAGUCUGUGAAGAAAUGAAAGUGUGGCCAGAGUGGGCAGGGUGAGAAGGGGGUUGAUGGAUUUGGAGAACAUGGGAGUUUAAAGAGUCAAGAGGUUAUAGUGAGAAGGAAGAGUAGGAAAAGUGAGGCAGAAGAAGAAAAGGAAAGAAAUGUCAAUCAGAAAGAAGAAUUUCAGCAUUUAAGUUCAUGAAGGUGGUGCAGCUUUGUGUGAAAGGACUUGAGAAAUGUUGUCUCUGGUUGAUCAGAUAAUGAAGUAUUUUUGUCAUUGUU